Epithele typhae is the source of this 103-nucleotide non-coding RNA. The record is from the annotation of a RefSeq genome assembly. Lineage: Eukaryota; Fungi; Basidiomycota; Agaricomycetes; Polyporales; Epitheliaceae.
GGCGAGAUGGCCGAGCGGUCUAAGGCGCCAGACUAAGGUGAAUGGGUUUCAGCCCUCCGAAAUCUGGUCCGAAAGGGCGUGGGUUCGAAUCCCACUCUCGUCA